AGGCUUAACACAUGCAAGUCGAGCGCCCCGCGAGGGGAGCGGCAGACGGGUGAGUAACGCGUGGGAAUCUACCCUUUACUACGGAAUAACGCAGGGAAACUUGUGCUAAUACCGUAUGUGUCCUUCGGGAGAAAGAUUUAUCGGUAAAGGAUGAGCCCGCGUUGGAUUAGCUAGUUGGUGGGGUAAAGGCCUACCAAGGCGACGAUCCAUAGCUGGUCUGAGAGGA
This 226-nucleotide ribosomal RNA is filed under the name Rhizobium sp. Inpa95A. RNAcentral describes it as "partial 16S ribosomal RNA". It matches the Rfam family "Bacterial small subunit ribosomal RNA", at positions 46 to 300 of the family's 1533-position model. Lineage: Bacteria; Pseudomonadati; Pseudomonadota; Alphaproteobacteria; Hyphomicrobiales; Rhizobiaceae. The record is from RNAcentral.